This 533-nucleotide ribosomal RNA is filed under the name uncultured bacterium. RNAcentral describes it as "bacterial SSU rRNA". It matches the Rfam family "Bacterial small subunit ribosomal RNA", at positions 330 to 873 of the family's 1533-position model. The record is from RNAcentral.
UCCUAAUUGUGCAUCAGGGGGGAAUUUUUAGCAAUUGACCCAAGCCUGACGGAGCAAUACCGCGUGCGGGAAGGCGGUCUAUGGGUUGUUAACCUCUUUUUUCCUGGAGGAAUCAAAUGACGUGUUCCCGAAGAAUAAACAUCGGCUAACUUUGUUCCAGCACCCCCGGUAAGAUGGAGGAGGCAAGUGUUAUCUUGAAUCAUUUGGGGUAAAAAGUCGGUAGGUGGUCCAAUAAAUCAACUGUUAAAUCUCGAGGCUCAACCUCAAAAUAGCAGUCGAAACUAUUAGACUAGAGUAUAGUAGGGGGAAAGGGAAUUUCCAGUGGAGCGGUGAAAUUCGUAGAGAUUGGAAAGAACACCGAUGGCGAAGGCACUCUCCUGGGCUAUUACUAACACUCAGAGACGAAAGCUAGGGUAGGCAAACGCGAUUAGAUACCCCCGUAGUCCUAGCCCUCAACAAUGGAUACUAGAUGUGAACAGAUCGACCUGUUCAGUUCAAAGCUAACGCGUAAGUUACCCUGUACUCGACGUUUU